GCUCAGUAACACGUCGAUAAUCUGCCCUUAGGUUCGGGAUAACGUUGGGAAACUGACGAUAAGACCGGAUUUAGAAAUUCUACUGGAAGGUGAAUUUCCUUAGACGCAAGGCCUAAGGAUGAGUCGGCGGCGGAUUAGGUUGUUGGCGAGGUAAUGGCUCACCAAGCCGAAGAUCCGUAGGGGCCUUGAAAGAGGUAGCCCCGAGAAGGGCACUGAGACACUGGCCCUAGCUCCACGGAGUGCAGCAGGCGCGAAAACUUUACAAUGCACGCAAGUGUGAUAAGGGAAUCCUAAGUGACGACGCAAAGCGUCGUCUUUUGCCAAGAGCAAAUAUCUUGGAGAAUAAGUGGUGGGCAAUACCUGUGCCAGCCGCCGCGGUAACCCAGGAGCCACAAGUGGCAACCACCUUUAUUUGGCCUAAAGCGUCCGUAGCCGGUUGUGUAAAUUUUCUGUGAAAUCGUUGCGCUUAACGUAACGGCGCGCAGAAAACACUGCACGACUUGGGACCGGGAGGAGUUGGAGGUAUUUGAGGGGGAGCGGUAAAAUGCUAUAAUCCUUCAAGGACCACCUGUGGCGAAGGCGUCCAACUAGAACGGAU
This 598-nucleotide ribosomal RNA is filed under the name uncultured archaeon. RNAcentral describes it as "bacterial SSU rRNA". It matches the Rfam family "Archaeal small subunit ribosomal RNA", at positions 88 to 690 of the family's 1478-position model. The record is from RNAcentral.